GGUCCUGGAGAUAAGAGGCCGGUCUAUGGCUGCUAGCUAUGGGCCAGGAUCCCUUAAGUCUUCCCACUAUACCAACCCCUAAACCAGAGAUCAGUGGUAGGUAGGUAGGUCGGUCCUGGGCCCAUCAGUGCCUGGGGGAAAUCUCAGUGAAUGGAGCAUACUACUUACCCAGCAGAUCCAUCCUAAUGGGUGCAAUUUAAAUAAUGAAAAGAUAAUAAUAAUAAUAGUAAUAAUAAUAACAGUAAUAAUAAUAAUCAUAGCAACAAUAGCAAAAGAGGCAAACAAUCGCUUUCACAGAACAGAUGAGCCCAGAAUGAGUACAGAAUGUACCCUCAUCUUGCCAGCAGAUUCCACUUCCCCAGGGGGUUUGGAAAUCUGUCUCCUCCAGAGCAAUUAUGCGUACAAUAGACUGGAAAAACACGUGUACGAGAGAUGGGGCCUUGUGGUAACAGCUGAGCUCAUCCAGACUGAAAACACAGAUGCUAUAAGCCCAGUCAAAGGCUAGACAUGAUGGAGCCUGCCUGAAUCCCCGGUACUAAGGACAUAGAGGCAGAAGGAUCAAUCAGAAGCCUCUGAUGGAGAACUACCACUAAACCCACACCAGAACUGAAGGAGCCAAGGCGCGGAGAGGUGCGGUCAGCUAUCAGAGAGGAGGAGGCUGGGGCGGUAUUCAGAGAGAAAGUUCCAGGACUUGGUAUUCAUCUGCUCUGCCAUCUCCUGGCCCCGUGGAGAUAGAAGCUGUCAGAGAUGCAGGUCUCAGUUCCUGCUGCCCAUCUGUGUUGUUUGAGGAACAUGGCUGGGAUGAGGAUUCCUGGCUGGGGACACGGUUCAGUGGCAGUGCUGGCCUAACACACACUGGGGUCCAGCCUCAGCAGCACACACAUGAACCAAUGCACACACGCAUGCAUGUGCACACACACAAACCAGUUCCUGCCUUGGCUGGUGGGGGUUGGGGGGGGGGGAAGGUCCUCAGAGCUGGCAGGCACAGGUGUUAUGAUGGGAGCUGCCUACGUGCCCAGGGACAGACAAACAUGUGUCCCGUCUUGGGGGUCACUAGGUUAACGCAGACAAAGGCACUCCUUUUUCUUUGAAGGAAAGCCUGUGACUCCCAGGUGAUAAUCGGGCUGCAGAGAAGGGUUUGCCAGGGUGAUUAAUGGGUGGUGAAUGUAAUUAGCUAGUAAUAAUACUCCAAGGUCAAGGCUGCAGUGAUUCAGGCUGCCACGUGCAUGGGUGAUUAAUAUUCAGGGGCAGUAUCAGGCACAAGGCUCCUUCCUGUAGCCUUUGGGAAGGGUCAUUUCAAAGACUAUGGGGGCUGGGCUCCUGGACUGGGAGCAGAGCUUCUGUUUGGGGCAGAAGGGUGGGUCCUGAGUCCUGGGCUAUCUCAGAUAUUUUGGAGCAGGUUUCCUGCCAGCUUAUCAGAUGACCAAUUCACUUGUAAGAAGUGGCCCAGCCAGCCACCCACUUUGAGACUCGGGCCAAGAUCGGAGGCAUUGGUCUAGGGCAGUGGUUUUUCAACCUGUGGGUGGAUCACCCGGGGAUCAAACGAUCCUCCCAGAGGAGUCCGCUAAGACCAUUGAAAAGCACAGAUAUUUACAUUGUGAUUCAUAACAGUAGCAAAAUCACAGUUACAAAGUAGCAACAAAAAUAAUUUUAUGAUUGGGGGUCACCACCCCAUGAGGAUUAAAGGGUCCCAGCAUUAGGAAGGCUGAGAAUCGCUGCACUGGAGUCUUCUGACUCUCCCAGCCCAAAUACAGGCCAUCAGCUAAGACCAGGGCUGCUUCUCCUAAGGAGGGCACUGGUUCUUAGCUUGGUUUGAGCUCUUUGCUCUGCCUCCUCUGCUGCUACCACCUGACAUGGGUGUGACCAUUGUUCUCUGACCUCCAGUUACCCUGCCUGUCCCUCCUCUUUCAUUCUGGCCUCAUGCGCUCUGUUGGCCCCAUGGUAGCCAGAGAGAUCCAUUAAAACCUUCUGUCCGAUCAUUUUCUAUCUCAGCUUAAAACUGCAACAGCUCCCAAUGUCUUUAGAAUAAAAUCAACACAUCUGGCCAAGGCCCACUGUGGCCUGUCCACUCCCAGGCCCCUGUCUGGCAUCCUCUGCUGCCUGUCUCUGCUACAGGCUAGAUGCAUGCUGAGCUCAGAGCCUUACUUGCAGGCUUGCUGUCCGGAAAAGUCCCUUUGCUAGUGUGCUGCUGGGCUGGCCCGUGCCUACUAGUCAAGCUUCCACUUAAAACAUCAACUCUUUGAACAGGCCAUUGGCUCCUCACCAAGAGCGGCUAAGCCUCGGUCAUUCUGUUUCCCUAAGGGCAGAGCUCUCAGCCUGCUCCUGGCUCUUUUCAUACCUGUGCUUAGUAGGUGCACCGCAGUGCAAUAGGUCCCCCUGUGCACCACAGUCCUCCUGGCCUACUAAGUUCUCUGCUGUAUCCACAGCCCCACAUGGUGCAAAAGACCUUUGUCAUCUCUCCAUGAGAUCUGUUUUCAGGAACUUGGAGUCUUUCCUUCUCAGGAGACAUGGUGCGGAAGGGGCAGGGGGGCAGACAAGCUAACUUGCUAACUUCCCCUCAACCCUGAUUAUGAACUGAGCUCUGACAAUGCUUAGAACAGUCUCUCUGAGGUUUACGCUUAGCUCAGUCCUUCUCAGAGGUCACCUCCUUGGGGAAGUUCUUGCAAAUGCCACCCCAUGACCUGUGUUGUCUUGGCAGCAGCGAUUCCUACCAAUCACCAUUUAGACGGGGGCAGUUUUGGAGCGAGAGAUGGAGCUCAGACGGAGCACUUGCUUAGCAUGCACGAAGCCCUGGCUUCCAUCCCCAGCACUGCACAAACCAAGCAUGGUGGUGCACGGUGGUGCAUGGUGGAUUACAGAAUCCUAGCACUUCAGAGGUAGAGGCGGGAGGAUCACCCUGGUACUUUGUCUCAAGCAAACAAAUAAAAAUAAAUAUGUUGGUAGUUUGGCUGCCUACUAUUUUUUACUGUCUACCUCCCUUUCUAGAAUACAAAUUCCAAACCCACUGUGCAUCCCUAACUGUCUGGCCCUGCUUGAAACAAAGAGAGGUUUAUAACCUGCAUGGAUGAAGGGAGGACUCUGCAGGAAUGGAGAGGUGGUCCACUGUUGGGAGAGACCCAAACUGUGGAGGGUUGGUCUGGAUGAAGUCCU
This is a long non-coding RNA of Mus musculus (house mouse), 3150 nucleotides long. RefSeq annotates it as predicted gene, 33214. The transcript is spliced from 4 exons. The record is from RefSeq and is a predicted model, not a curated record. NCBI's taxonomy places the organism in Eukaryota, Metazoa, Chordata, Mammalia, Rodentia, Muridae.